This 248-nucleotide ribosomal RNA is filed under the name uncultured bacterium. RNAcentral describes it as "partial 16S ribosomal RNA". It matches the Rfam family "Bacterial small subunit ribosomal RNA", at positions 523 to 769 of the family's 1533-position model. The record is from RNAcentral.
AGACGUAGGGGGCAAGCGUUGUCCGGAAUUACUGGGCGUAAAGGGUGCGUAGGCGGCAUUACAAGUCUAAUGUGAAAUCCCCGUGCUUAACAUGGGGUUUGCAAUAGAAACUGUAAAGCUAGAGUGCAGGAGAGGUAAGUGGAAUUCCUAGUGUAGCGGUGAAAUGCAUAGAUAUUCGGAGGAACACCAGUGGCGAAGGCGGCUUACUGGUCCAUUACUGACGCUGAGGUGCGAAAGCGGUGGGGAGC